Long non-coding RNA from Gasterosteus aculeatus aculeatus (three-spined stickleback), 653 nucleotides. The record is from Ensembl. Lineage: Eukaryota; Metazoa; Chordata; Actinopteri; Perciformes; Gasterosteidae.
UGUUGUAGUAGUAUUAGUAGCAAAGCGCAAAUUUACAAUGGAACCUGUGGCAAAGAGAGGUCGCUCUGAGAUGUGGGAGCACUUUGAUUUCCUCUAACAAGGUUUGUAAUAGGCAGGCAAAGUCUGUCAUUUGUAUUGUGUAAUUAUGGAUGUUUAUUUUUAUUUGGGUUUUGUAGUUGAACUAUACAUGUGCCUUUAUUUUAUUCGUGAAAAACAUGCUUUUGUAAAUUCUGUUGUCAGGUCCAAUGUUUGGUUUGCCAUCAGCAAUUGGCUUAUAACAAUAACACCUCAUCCAUGCUGAGGCACUUUCGUGCCAAGCAUGAGGCUGGUCAAGCUGCAGCAAGCAUCCAUGGUGAUAGGAAGGCCAAGAUUGACGAGGCACUGGUGAACGAUUGUCAAGGAUUCGCAGCCCUUCAAGGUUGUGGAAGAUCAAGGCUUUAGGGCCUUGGUGUCUCUUUUGGACCCCACCUAUGUCCUUCCUUCAAGGCAGACCUUGAAAUCUAUGGUGGAGGCCAAGUAUCACGAGGAGAAGCAGAAGGCCAAAGAAAAGGUCCAGAAGGCUACUGCUGUGGCUUUGACCUCUGAUAUGUGGACAUCCAUCCACAUGGACUCGUACUUGGCCUUCACUUGCCAUUUUGUAGAUGAAGGGGACA